GCAUAAGCCAUCUAAGGCCCACAGAUAUUCAUUGCAUCGUUCUCUAUACCUCUCUGUAUAACGCAUAUAUUUCAUAAUAAGCUAAAAGUUUAAAUGAGUGUGGGCCAGGUCGCGGUGAGAAGCAGGACAUCAGCUCAUGGAGGCCUCCACUGGCUUAAGGUAUGCUCUCUUCACUGAUAUGGCUGUUGGAUAAGCCUAGCUUUCUAGAUGUGGUCUGGAAACAUCUGGAAAGAAAGCUAAUGUUUCAGGCAGGGAAAUAUAUACCUUGAGAAAAGGAGGCAAAGCAGGGGAAGAGAGAAAUGUAGGAGAAAACUAGCUGGAGAGCCGUGUACUAGGGAAGGCCAAGCCAGGAGGGUGGGGAGGGUGUGUGGCUAACCUGGUGAGAGGCAGAGGGCAGAGAAAGGCCACUGGGUAGAGCCACGAAAAGUCCCUGGUCAUCUCCUGGAGAGUGGCCUUGGAAUUUGUCAGUAACUCUGUCUCUUUCUCCAGAAGCACAAAGUGGGCAACAUUCUGUUGACUUAGUAAGGAGUGGAUAGAGAGGGGAAAUGGGAACCCAGGAUAAAAGAGGAACUAAAACAUGAUAAGAGCCUAGCUUGAUUUAGCCUCCUGGAAUUCCAGGCAACAAGUGCCAAGUGGAAGUUAUGAAGCUCAGCUCAUUAGAAAGGAGGCCACAGGCUGUUUCUUCAAAAGAAGCAUUUUUCUCCUCUGCUUAAGAUAGCUUUUGAUACUUUGGGAUGCUUGCAGAUAGAAAAGAUUAAAUCGCUGUUAGAAAGAGAACUGAUAAAAGUUGGGGAGGGGGAAACCAAAAUUUCAUAGUGAAUAUUUUGUAAAAGAGUUUUGUUAAGCAUGCAUCUUGCAAAAUGGAAACAACGGUUAUUAAAAUGAGUUUAUUUUAUUUUACACUUUAACAUGUGUUAUGGUUUCCAUGUGAGGUGUCCCUCAAAAGCUCCCAUGUGAGACAGUGCAAGAAGGUUCUGAGGAGAAAUGAUUGGGUGGUCAGGGUCUUAAUCAGUGGAUUAAUGCCUGAUGGGUAUUCACUGAGGUGCAACCGAAAUGGUGGGGUGUGGCUGGAGGAGGUGGGAAUUGGGGCGUGGCUUUGGGUAUAUAUUUACAUCUGGCCAGUGGAGACUCUCUCUGCUUCCCUCUGCCACACUCUCCUGCUGUGAUGUUCAGCCUCACCUCGAGCCCCAAGGAAUGGAGCCGGCCUCCUAUGGACCAAGGCCUCUUGAAACUGUGAGCCCUUGAAUAAACUUGCUCUGAUCAGAUCUUUUAGUCACAGCAGUUGAAAAAGGUAACCAAACCACCACUGAAGUCCCACAUGCGACUCUUUGUCCUCUUUGAGGGGCUGAACCGAGGGGCUGACUUUUUGGAUGGAAUUUUUCCAACAAAAGUCCAUGGUAGAAUGAAAGAACAUUUUCAAAUUCAUGUUUGACUUGGGCAGCAUAAUCACAUGCAGGGUUAUUUAAAAAAAAAAACAGAAGAAAGAAAGAAAAGCAGGGUUUUGCAAAAAAAAAAAAAUCUUUUGAGUGCUUCACCAAUUUUCUCAGAAGCGUCUCCUCUUCCUUUGAUAUUCCAGCCAUUCUCUUUCACAGUCUCUUGGUUUUCUUUGUCCUGGCUGUUUUCUUCUCUGGGCGGUGUUGACGGCUCCAACUCUCCAAACACGUACUUGUCGAAGCCUUUGCUCACGACGCCAGCAGUUACUCUCAUGGACUUUAUGAAAUCCUGCCCUCCUUUUUUGUGAGAUUUGCAAUUAUACUUUGCAAUCAGUUUGCAUUGUAUUCCCAGUGUAUUGAUCAUCUGUCAGCCCAUGAGAUGGAGCGGCAGUGAUGUGGAUGGGACAGAAUCAGCCCCGCUGUGACAGGGAGGGGAAUGUUACCGAAGGAGGACUAAUGUGAUGAGUGGAGACCU
Molecule: long non-coding RNA, 1908 nt
Filed under: Marmota monax (woodchuck)
Lineage: Eukaryota; Metazoa; Chordata; Mammalia; Rodentia; Sciuridae
Source: RNAcentral